Molecule: ribosomal RNA, 292 nt
Filed under: uncultured soil bacterium
Lineage: Bacteria
Description: partial 16S ribosomal RNA
Rfam family: Bacterial small subunit ribosomal RNA
Source: RNAcentral
AGAGUGAACGCUGGCGGUAGGCCUAACACAUGCAAGUCGAACGGCAGCACAGUAGGAGCUUGCUCUUACGGGUGGCGAGUGGCGGACGGGUGAGGAAUACGUCGGAAUCGUACCUUUUGGUGGGGGAUAACGUAGGGAAACUUACGCUAAUACCGCAUACGCCCUUCGGGGGAAAGCCGGGGACCAGCAAUGGCCUGGUGCUGAUAGAUGAGCCGAUGUCGGAUUAGCUAGUUGGUGAGGUAAUGGCUCACCAAGGCGACGAUCCGUAGCUGGUCUGAGAGGAUGAUCAGCC